RNAcentral lists this ribosomal RNA (405 nucleotides) under uncultured bacterium. Its description in RNAcentral is "bacterial SSU rRNA". It matches the Rfam family "Bacterial small subunit ribosomal RNA", at positions 355 to 775 of the family's 1533-position model. The record is from RNAcentral.
UGGGGAAUAUUGGGCAAUGGGGGAAACCCUGACCCAGCGACGCCGCGUGAGGGAAGAAGGCCUUAGGGUCGUAAACCUCUGUUGUGUGGGAAGAAGAGUGCGACGGUACCACACGAGGAAGUCCCGGCUAACUACGUGCCAGCAGCCGCGGUAAUACGUAGGGGACGAGCGUUGUCCGGAUUUACUGGGCGUAAAGGGCGCGUAGGCGGUCAUUUAAGUCAGCUGUGAAAUGGUUUGGCUUAACUGGAUCAUGCGGUUGAAACUGGAUGACUGGAGUGCUGGAGAGGCAAGUGGAAUUCCCAGUGUAGCGGUGAAAUGCGUAGAUAUUGGGAAGAACACCGGUGGCGAAGGCGACUUGCUGGCCAGCAACUGACGCUGAGGCGCGAAAGCCAGGGGAGCAAACGG